This 301-nucleotide ribosomal RNA is filed under the name uncultured bacterium. RNAcentral's name for it is "partial 16S ribosomal RNA". It matches the Rfam family "Bacterial small subunit ribosomal RNA", at positions 509 to 807 of the family's 1533-position model. The record is from RNAcentral.
CAGUAGCCGCGGUAAUACGUAGGGUGCAAGCGUUAAUCGGAAUUACUGGGCGUAAAGCGUGCGCAGGCGGUUUGUUAAGACAGAUGUGAAAUCCCCGGGCUCAACCUGGGAACUGCAUUUGUGACUGGCAAGCUAGAGUAUGGCAGAGGGGGGUGGAAUUCCGCGUGUAGCAGUGAAAUGCGUAGAUAUGCGGAGGAACACCGAUGGCGAAGGCAGCCCCCUGGGCCAAUACUGACGCUCAUGCACGAAAGCGUGGGGAGCAAACAGGAUUAGAGACCCCCGUAGUCCCUGUCUCUUAUAC